GAUGAACGCUGGCGGCGUGCUUAACACAUGCAAGUCGAACGAAGAUGCCGGAGUGCUUGCACUUUGGCAGACUGAGUGGCGGACGGGUGAGUAACGCGUGGGUAACCUGCCUUAUACAGGGGGAUAACAGUUGGAAACGACUGCUAAUACCGCAUAAGCGCACGGUAUCGCAUGAUACAGUGUGAAAAACUCCGGUGGUAUAAGAUGGACCCGCGUCUGAUUAGCUAGUUGGUGAGGUAACGGCCCACCAAGGCGACGAUCAGUAGCCGGCCUGAGAGGGUGAACGGCCACAUUGGGACUGAGACACGGCCCAAAACUCCUACGGGAGGCAGCAGUGGGGAAUAGUUGCACAAUGGGGAAACCGUCGAUGCAGCGACGCCGCGUGAGUGAUGAAG
RNAcentral lists this ribosomal RNA (395 nucleotides) under uncultured bacterium. RNAcentral describes it as "bacterial SSU rRNA". It matches the Rfam family "Bacterial small subunit ribosomal RNA", at positions 28 to 413 of the family's 1533-position model. The record is from RNAcentral.